RNAcentral lists this long non-coding RNA (1494 nucleotides) under Cicer arietinum (chickpea). Its description in RNAcentral is "long non-coding RNA (CARI_LNC001509)". Lineage: Eukaryota; Viridiplantae; Streptophyta; Magnoliopsida; Fabales; Fabaceae. The record is from RNAcentral.
UUAACUAAGUUGAAUUCAAUAGGAUUGAAAUGGACUAAGAGUUAAAGGGAUUGAAAUUUAAUUCAUAAGAUGGAUUAGAACAAGUGUUGUUCUCCCAACUAUUUCAAGGGUUAUAUGCGAUGUAAUUGGAAAAGAGUUUCCUACCUUAAUAUUCGUGUUUUGGGUGAAUCAGCUCACGUGUCUCAAAACAAGGAAAAAUAUGGAUCUUGGUUUCACUAUAAAAUCUUCCAAUGGGAUUUUUCGAGUCAAUGGUUAGGGUCAUUGAUUUGAGUAAAAUGGUGGGAGCAUAUUUAACAAAGACUUGUUAAAAUGGAUAGAGUCAUUGAUUAUGAGGCAAUCGUUCAAGUGGACUAAUUAGAGACAAUACAAUUUUGUGGUGUUGGUGAUUUAUCCUACUUGACGCUUCAAGAGGUAAAUACAUAAAUCUCAUGUAAAAUAUUGUGCGUGCGUGAUACAUGACAAUGAGUAAAUUUCUCUCUUAAAAAUAAUUUUAAAAUAUAUCUCAGUGGUAUCAGAGCCAUGGUCGUUUAUGUCUUAUUUUCGUAGGUGUUUGUUUACCUAUUUGAUAACAUGCCUAAAUAUUUUCUAGAAUAUGAUUUAUAUAAAAUAAAUGUUAUCAACUAAGAGUACUUGAUAUAUAUGAUAUUCAAUGCAUAAUUAUUGCCUCUAUAUAUUUGCAAAGUAUGUGCUCUCAAUGUUGAGCUAAUAUGUUAGAAAUUGAGAAUGCAUUCUUGCUCUUGUUUAAUAUUAAUAAGAAUAUUUGAAUCAGAAUUCAGAAUACAAUAGUUGCAAUAGUUUUGAUUUUGAAGUUCUUAAAACAUACCAUGCUCAAAAUUAGUUAUUAAUAUUAAUAGUUAUUAUUUGUAAAUAUUUUGAGAUGUAUUAAAUAAUUAAUUUUAAUUAAUCAUUAAGGGCACGUAGUUAUGAAUUUAUUAUUUUUUUUGGUUAUUUUAUUUUAUUUAAAGCGUGUGGUGAUUUAUUUUAAAAUAUGAUUUGCAUAGUGAUAAUUAAUUAAUUUAUUUUAAAUAGUUGUAACUAUUCACAAUGACUAGAGACAACACCAUACAUUGAUGCAAUGAUAUGUAAUAUGUGUGUUAGCAUGUUUUGUAUAUAUAUGUGUUUCAUAUGCUUUAAAAUGUGAGAGUAUAUAUACUCAUCAUUGCAUUUGGGCACAUGUUUCUAGCUUUUUACUUUGAUAUUUUAAAAGCUCUAUACAACUUAGAAUAAUUUUUUAAUUUGUUUCUAAACUUUGGGUCGAAAUUGAAUUAUAAUUUUAUUAUUAGCAUUUUGACCCCUGUUCGCUCUAUAGGUUAUAACUUGAGCUCUGGAUAUCGGAUUGACGCAUGCGAGUAGACGUUGGAAAACUAAAAAUCAAAGCCACAACUUUUAUGUUGGAACAAAAACCCAAUGCAGAACUUUAUAGGGCCAAAAUUACAGAUUUCGUUAUCUGAGCUUUUGUACUAAUUUUAAGUAUUGGACCACUUGUUUUUCAAG